This 426-nucleotide ribosomal RNA is filed under the name uncultured bacterium. Its description in RNAcentral is "bacterial SSU rRNA". It matches the Rfam family "Bacterial small subunit ribosomal RNA", at positions 355 to 774 of the family's 1533-position model. The record is from RNAcentral.
UGGGGAAUUUUCCACAAUGGGCGAAAGCCUGAUGGAGCAACGCCGCGUGUGUGAUGAAGGUCUUCGGAUCGUAAAGCACUUUCGACCGGGAAGAAAAACCUCUGGCUAACAUCCAGGGGCCUGACGGUACCGGGAGAAGAAGCACCGGCUAACUCUGUGCCAGCAGCCGCGGUAAUACAGAGGGUGCAAGCGUUGUUCGGAAUUAUUGGGCGUAAAGCGCGUGUAGGCGGCUUGGCAAGUCAGAUGUGAAAGCCCAUGGCUUAACCAUGGAAGUGCGUCUGAAACUGCUGAGCUUGAGUCUCGGAGAGGAUGGCGGAAUUCCGCAAGUAGAGGUGAAAUUCGUAGAUAUGCGGAGGAACACCGGUGGCGAAGGCGGCCAUCUGGACGAGUACUGACGCUGAGACGCGAAAGCGUGGGGAGCAAACA